GGUAGUCCACGCCGUAAACGAUGGGUACUAGGUGUGGGGUCCAUUCCACGGGUUCCGUGCCGUAGCUAACGCUUUAAGUACCCCGCCUGGGGAGUACGGCCGCAAGGCUAAAACUCAAAGGAAUUGACGGGGCCCCGCACAAGCGGCGGAGCAUGCGGAUUAAUUCGAUGCAACGCGUAGAACCUUACCUGGGUUUGACAUGGAUCGGGAGUGCUCAGAGAUGGGUGUGCCUCUUUUGGGGUCGGUUCACAGGUGGUGCAUGGCUGUCGUCAGCUCGUGUCGUGAGAUGUUGGGUUAAGUCCCGCAACGAGCGCAACCCUUGUUCACUGUUGCCAGCACGUUAUGGUGGGGACUCAGUGGAGACCGCCGGGGUCAACUCGGAGGAAGGUGGGGAUGACGUCAAGUCAUCAUGCCCCUUAUGUCCAGGGCUUCACGCAUGCUACAAUGGCUGGUACAGAGAGUGGCGAGCCUGUGAGGGUGAGCGAAUCUCGGAAAGCCGGUCUCAGUUCGGAUUGGGGUCUGCAACUCGACCUCAUGAAGUCGGAGUCGCUAGUAAUCGCAGAUCAGCAACGCUGCGGUGAAUACGUUCCCGGGGCUUGUACACACCGCCCGUCAAGUCAUGAAAGUUGGUAACACCCGAAGCCGGUGGCCUAACCGUUGUGGGGGAGCCGUCGAAGGUGGGACUGGUGAUUAGGACUAAGUCGUAACAAGGUAACC
RNAcentral lists this ribosomal RNA (717 nucleotides) under uncultured bacterium. RNAcentral describes it as "bacterial SSU rRNA". It matches the Rfam family "Bacterial small subunit ribosomal RNA", at positions 789 to 1501 of the family's 1533-position model. The record is from RNAcentral.